Molecule: long non-coding RNA, 528 nt
Filed under: Gorilla gorilla gorilla (western lowland gorilla)
Lineage: Eukaryota; Metazoa; Chordata; Mammalia; Primates; Hominidae
Description: lncRNA (ENSGGOG00000044369.1)
Source: RNAcentral
UGCCAGAGAAUGAAGCAGAGGGCUGUGGGGUGAAGGGACUGCCAGUCUUCCACCACUCCUUUUCGUGGUCCUUCCCUUCACUGCCUUCCUUCUCCCAGACAGACUGGGCAUCCAGUUCCAAUCCAAAGGCUGCCCCUUUGACCAGGCCCAUCUUCUCCACCUCACAUCAGACAGCCAAUCGGCUGCCCAGACCUCGAAACCUCAGUAACCUGGAAGGAAAUGGACCUUGGCAAACGUGUGUCAGGAGAGGAUGACUUGGAGGUGUCCACCGUGUUUCUUACUGAAGGCACAGAGUCCAGGGACACCUCCUGCUGCUGCCUCACCUAAGAGAAAGUGGCCCAAGAAGCACUGGCCCGGUGCCUGCUGAUGCCAGGAGCCCUCUGCUACUGCCUGACACAAGCAUCCUGCACUUCCCCCUCCCAGGCCCUCCCCGAAAGCGUGGGCCACAGCCCCCAGAAGGUCAUCCUCCAGGCUGUGAUCGUCAGACAGGGGGUCCUGCACGGGGUCCUCACAGGCCUUCAACCCAGC